This is a non-coding RNA of Picea glauca (white spruce), 406 nucleotides long. The record is from Rfam. NCBI's taxonomy places the organism in Eukaryota, Viridiplantae, Streptophyta, Pinopsida, Pinales, Pinaceae.
AAUAUUUUAAUUUAAUGGUGAAGUGGGGAAAUGUUCCAUGUGAACAUCACUUGGACAUGGUCGGUUAGUCAAUCCUAAGAUAUGGGGAAUCCUUGUAUCAAGGGUGCAUUAUGCAUGAACAUCGAAAGAUAAUUGGGUUAAUAUUCCUGAACAGGGACAUGGUGGUGGACGACAAUGUUAGGAAAUCUGGAGAUGUCAUCGGGGGCCUGGGAAGAGUUAUCUUUUCUUUUUAACGACUUUCCCACCCUUAAAUCAGUUCAACCAGAGAUAGGGUCCAACAUCUGAAAGAGAACCACAUGUAUUGCAAUUUUUCAUGCCCCCUAUAUGACCAUUGUAAAUAUGGUGAACCGAAUACCAUUCAUGCCUGAUCGUACUCAUAUCUGCCUCCUUGGAUUUUUCAAUGUCC